GACGAACGCUGGCGGCGUGCCUAACACAUGCAAGUCGAGCGGAGAAUGCAGAUAUGUUUACAUAGAAGUAUUCUUAGCGGCGGACGGGUGAGUAACACGUGGGUAACCUGCCUCAAAGUGGGGGAUAGCCUUCCGAAAGGAAGAUUAAUACCGCAUAAGCCUACAGUGCCGCAUGGUACAGCAGGAAAAGGAGCAAUCCGCUUUGAGAUGGACCCGCGGCGCAUUGGCUAGUUGGUGAGGUAACGGCUCACCAAGGCGACGAUGCGUAGCCGACCUGAGAGGUGAUCGGCACAUUGGAACUGAGACACGGUCCAGACUCCUACGGGAGCAGCAGUGGGAAUAUUGCACAAUGGGC
Molecule: ribosomal RNA, 355 nt
Filed under: uncultured bacterium
Lineage: Bacteria
Description: bacterial SSU rRNA
Rfam family: Bacterial small subunit ribosomal RNA
Source: RNAcentral